UACGUAGGGUGCAAGCGUUGUCCGGAAUUAUUGGGCGUAAAGAGCUCGUAGGCGGUCUGUCGCGUCUGCUGUGAAAACUCAGGGCUUAACCCCUGAGCUUGCAGUGGGUACGGGCAGACUAGAGUGCGGUAGGGGGAGACUGGAAUUCCUGGUGUAGCGGUGAAAUGCGCAGAUAUCAGGAGGGAACACCGGUGGCGAAGGCGGGUCUCUGGGCCGUAACUGACGCUGGAGGAGCGA
RNAcentral lists this ribosomal RNA (237 nucleotides) under uncultured bacterium. RNAcentral's name for it is "partial 16S ribosomal RNA". It matches the Rfam family "Bacterial small subunit ribosomal RNA", at positions 524 to 756 of the family's 1533-position model. The record is from RNAcentral.